Molecule: ribosomal RNA, 352 nt
Filed under: Clostridioides difficile
Lineage: Bacteria; Bacillati; Bacillota; Clostridia; Peptostreptococcales; Peptostreptococcaceae
Description: partial 23S ribosomal RNA
Rfam family: Bacterial large subunit ribosomal RNA
Source: RNAcentral
AAUUCCGGUGAAGAUGCCGGAUACCUGCGACAGGACGGAAAGACCCCAUGGAGCUUUACUGUAGCUUGACAUUGGGUCUUGGUACUACAUGUACAGGAUAGGUGGGAGGCUUUGAAACCAGGACGCCAGUUUUGGCGGAGCCAUCCUUGGGAUACCACCCUUGUAGUACUGGGACUCUAACCAUAGGCCAUGAAGCUGGUCUUGGGACACUGUCAGGUGGGCAGUUUGACUGGGGCGGUCGCCUCCCAAAAGGUAACGGAGGCGCUCAAAGGUUCUCUCAGUACGGUCGGAAAUCGUACGUAGAGUGUAAAGGCAAAAGAGAGCUUGAUUGCAAGACAUACAGGUCGAGCAA